RNAcentral lists this long non-coding RNA (1898 nucleotides) under Homo sapiens (human). RNAcentral's name for it is "long non-coding RNA NONHSAT202713.1". The record is from RNAcentral. Lineage: Eukaryota; Metazoa; Chordata; Mammalia; Primates; Hominidae.
GGUCAUUGUUCUUUCUGUGACAACUGAGAGUAAAGUGGAGUCUUGGUUUUCUCUCAUUAUGCCUUUUGCAACGGUUAUCUUUUUUGUCAUGAUCCUGGAUUUCUACGUGGAUUCCAUUUGUUCAGUCAAAAUGGAAGUUUCCAAAUGUGCUCGUUAUGGAUCCUUUCCCAUUUUUAUUAGUGCUCUCCUUUUUGGAAAUUUUUGGACACAUCCAAUAACAGACCAGCUUCGGGCUAUGAACAAAGCAGCACACCAGGAGAGCACUGAACACGUCCUGUCUGGAGGAGUGGUAGUGAGUGCUAUAUUCUUCAUUUUCUGCCAAUAUCUUAUCAUCUCCCUCUAAGAGAGGACAAAAAGGUACCCUUAUUGGAUAUUCUCCUGAAGGAACACCUCUUUAUAACUUCAUGGGUGAUGCUUUUCAGCAUAGCUCUCAAUCGAUCCCUAGGUUUAUUAAGGAAUCACUAAAACAAAUUCUUGAGGAGAGUGACUCUAGGCAGAUCUUUUACUUCUUGUGCUUGAAUCUGCUUUUUACCUUUGUGGAAUUAUUCUAUGGCGUGCUGACCAAUAGUCUGGGCCUGAUCUCGGAUGGAUUCCACAUGCUUUUUGACUGCUCUGCUUUAGUCAUGGGACUUUUUGCUGCCCUGAUGAGUAGGUGGAAAGCCACUCGGAUUUUCUCCUAUGGGUACGGCCGAAUAGAAAUUCUGUCUGGAUUUAUUAAUGGACUUUUUCUAAUAGUAAUAGCGUUUUUUGUGUUUAUGGAGUCAGUGGCUAGAUUGAUUGAUCCUCCAGAAUUAGACACUCACAUGUUAACACCAGUCUCAGUUGGAGGGCUGAUAGUAAACCUUAUUGGUAUCUGUGCCUUUAGCCAUGCCCAUAGCCAUGCCCAUGGAGCUUCUCAAGGAAGCUGUCACUCAUCUGAUCACAGCCAUUCACACCAUAUGCAUGGACACAGUGACCAUGGGCAUGGUCACAGCCACGGAUCUGCGGGUGGAGGCAUGAAUGCUAACAUGAGGGGUGUAUUUCUACAUGUUUUGGCAGAUACACUUGGCAGCAUUGGUGUGAUCGUAUCCACAGUUCUUAUAGAGCAGUUUGGAUGGUUCAUCGCUGACCCACUCUGUUCUCUUUUUAUUGCUAUAUUAAUAUUUCUCAGUGUUGUUCCACUGAUUAAAGAUGCCUGCCAGGUUCUACUCCUGAGAUUGCCACCAGAAUAUGAAAAAGAACUACAUAUUGCUUUAGAAAAGAUACAGAAAAUUGAAGGAUUAAUAUCAUACCGAGACCCUCAUUUUUGGCGUCAUUCUGCUAGUAUUGUGGCAGGAACAAUUCAUAUACAGGUGACAUCUGAUGUGCUAGAACAAAGAAUAGUACAGCAGGUUACAGGAAUACUUAAAGAUGCUGGAGUAAACAAUUUAACAAUUCAAGUGGAAAAGGAGGCAUACUUUCAACAUAUGUCUGGCCUAAGUACUGGAUUUCAUGAUGUUCUGGCUAUGACAAAACAAAUGGAAUCCAUGAAAUACUGCAAAGAUGGUACUUACAUCAUGUGAGAUAACUCAAGAAUUACCCCUGGAGAAUAAACAAUGAAGAUUAAAUGACUCAGUAUUUGUAAUAUUGCCAGAAGGAUAAAAAUUACACAUUAACUGUACAGAAACAGAGUUCCCUACUACUGGAUCAAGGAAUCUUUCUUGAAGGAAAUUUAAAUACAGAAUGAAACAUUAAUGGUAAAAGUGGAGUAAUUAUUUAAAUUAUGUGUAUAAAAGGAAUCAAAUUUUGAGUAAACAUGAUGUAUUACAUCAUCUUCAAAAAUAGAUAUGAUGGAUUCUAGUGAAGACCAAAAUUACUUCUGUUUACUUUCUAUCAGGAAGCAUCUCCAUUGUAAAUAUGUAUUUACAUGUUUAUUACAA